Molecule: long non-coding RNA, 2470 nt
Filed under: Sorghum bicolor (sorghum)
Lineage: Eukaryota; Viridiplantae; Streptophyta; Magnoliopsida; Poales; Poaceae
Description: long non-coding RNA (SBIC_LNC007632)
Source: RNAcentral
CGUGUCGAGUGGCGGGAAAGCGUAUGGAGUACGCUACUCGCGGCAGGUUUCGCGGGUUUGGGCCUCAAAACCCGGGCGGAGGUCCCGAUGCGGACGGAUGGCACGUGGCGGCAUCGGUGAGAUCGCUUCGGAGCGAGGCUACCGGUGAGGAGGCAUGGUGGCCGUCGGAUUUAGGUCAUGUCGAGUUGGACUAGAAUGCCCCUGGGGCUAGCUAGUUCGCUCAAAAAUAUCUAGAGACAUUUGGGGAAUAUGUAAUAUGCCUGAUAAAUAAACCGGGAGAGUUCCCAUCUCCCUAACCCUCUCUCCACCUCUGUCCACCUUUCUUCCUCCUGUUUUCCCGUAGGUGCUCUCUCCCCCUCCCUGGUUUUCUUUAGUAGAGUAGGCUAUGAACUGAAAUUUUUAGGAGAGUUUUGUACUGGUUUUCGAGUUGGGAAUGGAGGCCCAAAUUCUCCAGUUGUCCUUCGGGAUUCCCUUUUUGAUCUGUUGAUUUCGUUGUAUAAGUUUCACAGUUUUCUCCCAUUUUCGUUCGUGGCUAAGAUCUCGAUUUCCCGGAGUUUGGAUUGAUCCCAAGCAAUGAUUUUUGGGGAAUUGUUUCUUGCUAGGGUGAAUUUGGUCUGUGCAAAUUUUGGGAACGAUUCAUGGAGGUUUGGGUACAUUUUGGUUAAUUUUUGGAGCCGGCCUCACCCUGCUCUUUUUCCUGUUCGUAGUGCAAGGGGCUCUCUGCUCUUUCUGGUUCUGGUCAGUGGCGCAGGUUCCCAAGUCUGAUGGAGGUUGAGCCAGUUCGUAAGUGCCUAUUGUUGUUCGUUCGUGAUUUCAAGUGAUUGAUUCUGAGCAUAGUUGUCCAGUUCUUUCUUGUUCCCUUCUGUUCUAGUGUUUAUUUUGUUUCUCUUCGUUCUUCGGUUGCGUGGGCGAUUCUGCACAUGGAGCUUGCUGCAGUGCUACCAGCGCCGAGCGCUCAGGCGCCGUGCGUGCUCGCUUGAGCAGCACUUGUCGUUGGCCAGGGUAAACGAUUUUUGUCCAGCGCUCUGCUCCAGGUGCUCGUGGAUUCCUUGUUCGUGAGCUUGAUUUACUGGUCUGCUUUGGUGGCUGUGUAUUGAUGCAGAGCAGACCCUGCUCAAUUUCCUCCAAACAGCUCGUGGACACCAGCAGUCCGUCAGGAGUCCAUCAGGCCAGGAGCGCCCUCAGCUCUACUCGUUCAGCAAGCAGGUAGUUUCUGGUUUUCUGUUGUGGUACUAGUUCAUGCUCCAUCAGGUGUUGGUUAGCUAGCAAGUGCAGCAGUUCGUUCCUGUGUUGAGCUUCUAGUUUCUGAUUGGUUAGGAGCUUGUUUAAGCUUCCGUGAAAUUGCAAAGAAAUUUCUUUGGCCAAGUUUGUUUUUUUCUCAGUUGUUGAUUGCAGUGCGUGGCGUGCGACAGUAUCUGCCUGCAGUCCUGCUUUCUCUCAGUUCUUCAAGUUUGAUUUUCUGUUUUUUUUUUGUGUCCUCUUUUCUCUUGGCCAUGAUUUUUUGUUUCUUGCGUAGUUUAGUUGUUUGGGUUCUGAUUUAAGUUUCGUCUGUUGCGUUAGCUUUCUAAAGUUGCAAAUUCUUUCUAAGUGCUCUUGUCACUAGUUGGCUUGAGUAAUUUUGUUUUGGUUCUCUCGCUUGUGUUUGGCAGUGAUUUGGGACAGUGGCCGAAAAUAUUUUGAGAAAAAUUUACGGCUCCCAUUCAACCCCCCCUCUGGUCGCUGUUUUCGGUCCUUCAAGAUGCCACAUGCAUAUUUUGUUGUAGGUCUGAGCACGAACUAAGGUGUGAAAUGAAUCUGUCGAGCUAUAAACAUUAGCAUGGAAUAUGGACUAUGCUACUCUUAAUUAUUUUCAAUCAUCAGCUACCUUCUGCUUCUAGAUAUUAUUCAUGCUGGUGACUAACAUGAUCAUUCCAUUUAGACAAGCGAAUCGUGACAUAUUAAUUCACAUCAGCAAAAAUAAAUAGCAUCGGACAGGGACUGAUGAGAACUUGUGGAAAUAUAUAAAAAUGUAAGCUUCCAGUGUUGUAGAUUUCACAACAUGGCCACUACUAUAAUAUAUAGUGUGUUGUCAGUAUUUGAACAAUUGAAGGAUAAAAUAUACAUACAUGAUGCAUGAAAACAGACACGAUGCAUGAAAACAUAUGAGGCAAAACAAUUAAUAGCAUAGCUUCAUGGAUUGCUAUAGGAAUAGGAGGCAAAAAGGAAGUUCGAAUUUGAUAUUGAUGUACCUUGGUAUAGUUCGCAGGGAGCUAGCAGGUGGAUGAUUGGCAUCCAAUAUCUGUGUUGCUUGCUGUCACACCCAUAUUUUAAGAACAAAAUAGGAUGCAUAAAAGACUCAUAUGUGCCCCAGGAAUAGUCGCACACAUAAGUAGACAAAUCUCAAAUGUACCAUUGCAGUGUUUAUUACAUAGCGGAAUAUAAUAUAUCACAUAGUCUCAUACAAAGAUGAUAAUAAUAUUAAACAACGCUC